RNAcentral lists this transfer RNA (87 nucleotides) under Hordeum vulgare. RNAcentral's name for it is "tRNA-Ser". It matches the Rfam family "tRNA". Rfam says of the family: Transfer RNA (tRNA) molecules are approximately 80 nucleotides in length. The record is from RNAcentral. Lineage: Eukaryota; Viridiplantae; Streptophyta; Magnoliopsida; Poales; Poaceae.
GUUAAGAGAGCCGAGCGGUUCAAGGUGUAGCAUUGGAACUGGCAUGUAGACUUUUGUUUACCGAGGGUUCGAAUCCCUCUCUUUUCG